This 207-nucleotide ribosomal RNA is filed under the name uncultured bacterium. RNAcentral's name for it is "partial 16S ribosomal RNA". It matches the Rfam family "Bacterial small subunit ribosomal RNA", at positions 568 to 774 of the family's 1533-position model. The record is from RNAcentral.
CACGCAGGCGGUCAGCCAAGUUCGGAGUGACAGUUUCCGGCUUAACUGGGAAAGGUCUUCGAAAACUGGUGGACUUGAGAACUUGAGGGGGAGACGGAAUUCCGGGUGGAGCGGUGAAAUGCGUAGAGAUCCGGAGGAACACCGAAAGCGAAGGCAGUCUCCUGGCAAGUUUCUGACGCUCAGGUGCGAAAGCUAGGGGAGCGAACA